UGACCUCGAAUCAGGUGGGAUUACCCGCUGAACUUAAGCAUAUCAAUAAGCGGAGGAAAAGAAACUAACAAGGAUUCCCCUAGUAACGGCGAGUGAAGCGGGAAGAGCUCAAAUUUAAAAUCUGACAAUCUUCGGUUGG
Molecule: ribosomal RNA, 139 nt
Filed under: Clavulina dicymbetorum
Lineage: Eukaryota; Fungi; Basidiomycota; Agaricomycetes; Cantharellales; Hydnaceae
Description: partial 28S ribosomal RNA
Rfam family: Eukaryotic large subunit ribosomal RNA
Source: RNAcentral